RNAcentral lists this unclassified non-coding RNA (237 nucleotides) under Chytridiomycota sp. RNAcentral's name for it is "partial contains small subunit ribosomal RNA, internal transcribed spacer 1, and 5.8S ribosomal RNA". The stretch from base 1 to 47 matches the Rfam family "Eukaryotic small subunit ribosomal RNA", at positions 1785 to 1831 of the family's 1831-position model. Lineage: Eukaryota; Fungi; Chytridiomycota. The record is from RNAcentral.
AAAGUCGUAACAAGGUAACCGUAGGUGAACCUGCGGUUGGAUCAUUAAUAAAUCCAAGAGUCUUGGGUAGUUUACUAUGCCAAGAUUCUAACUGGCCUUUGGGCCUUACACCUCUUGUGAACUGUUUAUUGACUCUGGUCAGAUGCUUCAGCGCUGGCCAGUAUUUUUAACCUAGUAUUUUUUGUCUUAUUAAAGAUUUAAUCUUAACAACUUUUGACAACGGAUCUCUAGGCUCUC